Hippocampus comes (tiger tail seahorse) is the source of this 135-nucleotide long non-coding RNA. RefSeq lists it as uncharacterized. NCBI's taxonomy places the organism in Eukaryota, Metazoa, Chordata, Actinopteri, Syngnathiformes, Syngnathidae. The transcript is spliced from 3 exons. The record is from RefSeq and is a predicted model, not a curated record.
CGCGAUCGGCACGUGCAAUAUGCAUAUGUGACGGGGCUCACAACUGUGAUGUUCUCAAGCUCCACGUCGCUGCCGCCUCAAUAAAACCAGACGCGUGGAGUGUGGCUUUUCUCUCUUUUUUUAUUACAUGUGACU